RNAcentral lists this ribosomal RNA (1052 nucleotides) under uncultured Chryseobacterium sp. RNAcentral describes it as "bacterial SSU rRNA". It matches the Rfam family "Bacterial small subunit ribosomal RNA", at positions 410 to 1475 of the family's 1533-position model. The record is from RNAcentral. Lineage: Bacteria; Pseudomonadati; Bacteroidota; Flavobacteriia; Flavobacteriales; Weeksellaceae.
GCGGGCAUUAUGGCUUGUAUCGUCAUUGGGAUAGGGAUAAACCUACCCUUCGUGAGGGUAGCUGAAGGUAAUAUACGAAUAAGCACCGGCUAACUCCGUGCCAGCAGCCGCGGUAAUACGGAGGGUGCAAGCGUUAUCUGGAUUUAUUGGGUCUAAAGGGUCGGUAGGCGGAUCUGUAAGUCAGUGGUGAAAUCUCACAGCUUAACUGUGAAACUGCCAUUGAUACUGCAGGUCUUGAGUGUUGUUGAAGUAGCUGGAAUAAGUAGUGUAGCGGUGAAAUGCAUAGAUAUUACUUAGAACACCAAUUGCGAAGGCAGGUUACUAAGCAACAACUGACGCUGAUGGACGAAAGCGUGGGGAGCGAACAGGAUUAGAUAGCCUGGUAGUCCACGCCGUAAACGAUGCUAACUCGUUUUUGGAAUGUAAGUUUCAGAGACUAAGCGAAAGUGAUAAGUUAGCCACCUGGGGAGUACGAACGCAAGUUUGAAACUCAAAGGAAUUGACGGGGGCCCGCACAAGCGGUGGAUUAUGUGGUUUAAUUCGAUGAUACGCGAGGAACCUUACCAAGGCUUAAAUGGGAAAUGACAGGUUUAGAAAUAGACUUUUCUUCGGACAUUUUUCAAGGUGCUGCAUGGUUGUCGUCAGCUCGUGCCGUGAGGUGUUAGGUUAAGUCCUGCAACGAGCGCAACCCCUGUCACUAGUUGCCAUCAUUAAGUUGGGGACUCUAGUGAGACUGCCUACGCAAGUAGAGAGGAAGGUGGGGAUGACGUCAAAUCAUCACGGCCCUUACGCCUUGGGCCACACACGUAAUACAAUGGCCGGUACAGAGGGCAGCUACACUGCGAAGUGAUGCAAAUCUCGAAAGCCGGUCUCAGUUCGGAUUGGAGUCUGCAACUCGACUCUAUGAAGCUGGAAUCGCUAGUAAUCGCGCAUCAGCCAUGGCGCGGUGAAUACGUUCCCGGGCCUUGUACACACCGCCCGUCAAGCCAUGGAAGUCUGGGGUACCUGAAGUCGGUGACCGUAACAGGAGCUGCCUAGGUAAAACCGGCCCC